Molecule: ribosomal RNA, 444 nt
Filed under: uncultured bacterium
Lineage: Bacteria
Description: partial 16S ribosomal RNA
Rfam family: Bacterial small subunit ribosomal RNA
Source: RNAcentral
GUGGGGAAUAUUGCGCAAUGGGGGAAACCCUGACGCAGCGACGCCGUGUGAGGGAAGAAGGCUUUCGGGUCGUAAACUUCUUUUGCAGGGGAAUAAAGUGCAGGACGUGUCCUGUUUUGUAUGUACCCUGAGAAUAAGGAUCGGCUAACUCCGUGCCAGCAGCCGCGGUAAUACGGAGGAUCCGAGCGUUAUCCGGAUUUAUUGGGUUUAAAGGGUGCGUAGGUGGUUUGAUAAGUCAGCGGUGAAAGUUUGCAGCUUAACUGUAAAAAUGCCGGUGAAACUGUCGGACUUGAGUGUAAAUGAGGUAGGCGGAAUGCGUGGUGUAGCGGUGAAAUGCAUAGAUAUCACGCAGAACUCCGAUUGCGAAGGCAGCUUACUAAGCUACAACUGACACUGAAGCACGAAAGCGUGGGGAUCAAACAGGAUUAGAUACCCUAGUAGUCC